CCUUCGAUAGCUCAGUCGGUAGAGCGGUGGAGUGUAGCGGUCCAUUGGUCGCUGGUUCAAAUCCGGCUCGAAGGU
RNAcentral lists this transfer RNA (75 nucleotides) under Heliconius melpomene (postman butterfly). Its description in RNAcentral is "tRNA HMEL017926". It matches the Rfam family "tRNA". Rfam says of the family: Transfer RNA (tRNA) molecules are approximately 80 nucleotides in length. Lineage: Eukaryota; Metazoa; Arthropoda; Insecta; Lepidoptera; Nymphalidae. The record is from RNAcentral.